GGGUAGGUGGGUAGAAUAUACCAAGGGGAGCGAGAGAACCUUCGUUAAGGAAUUAGGCAAAUUUCCCCCGUACGUUCGCAAUAAGGGGGGCCUCUGGUGGUGAGCUUAAUCGCAAAGCUGCUGGAGGCCGCAGAGAAAUGGCUCUUCCAACUGUUUAACAAAAACACAGGUCUCUGCUAAGUCGAAAGACGAAGUAUAGGGGCUGACGCCUGCCCAGUGCUGGAAGGUUAAGGGGAGAGGUUAGGCGCAAGCCGAAGCUUUGAGCCGAAGCCCCAGUGAACGGCGGCCGUAACAAUAACGGUCCUAAGGUAGCGAAAUUCCUUGUCGGGUAAGUUCCGACCCGCACGAAUGGCGUAAUGAGAGGAGCACUGUCUCAACGAGGGACUCGGCGAACAUUGAAGGACGUGUGAAGAUACACGUGACCCGCAGCGGGACAAAAAGACCCCGUGAAGCUUUACUACAACUUGCCAUUGAGUUAGGGCUUAACCUGUGUAGUAUAGGUGGGAGGCUUUGAAGCUGGGACGCCAGUCUCGGUGGAGCCACCGUUGAAAUACCACCCUGGUUUAUUCUUGGCUCUAACCUGUCGCCGUUAUCCGGCAUGGGAACAGUGGCUGGUGGGUAGUUUGACUGGGGCGGUCGCCUCCGAAAGCGUAACAGAGGCGCCCAAAUGUUCCCUCAGGCUGAAUGGAAACCAGCCGUUGAGUGUAAAGGCACAAGGGAGCUUGACUGCAAGACCAACAAGUCGCGCAGGGACGAAAGUCGGGCUUAGUGAUCCCACGGUUCAGAGUGGAAUGGCCGUGGCUUACCGGAUAAAAGCUACUCCGGGGAUAACAGGGUAGUCUAGUCCAAGAGUUCAUAUCGACGACCAGGUUCGCCACCUCGAUGUCGGCUCAUCACAUCCUGGGGCUGGAUAAGGUCCCAAGGGUUGGGCUGUUCGCCCAUUAAAGUGGUACGUGAGCUGGGUUCAGACCGUCGUGAGACAGGUCGGUCUCUAUCCGCUGUGGGCGUAAGGGAUUUGAGAGAAGCUGCCCCUAGUACGAGAGGACCGGGGUGGACGGACCUCUAGUGUGCCAGUUGUUCUGCCAAGAGCAUUGCUGGGUAGCUACGUCCGGCAGAGAUAACCGCUGAAAGCAUCUAAGUGGGAAACUCGUCUCAAGAUUAGAUCCCUCAUCCGUAUGGAGUAAGACCGCUAGAAGACGACUAGUUUGAUAGGCGGCAGGUGUAAG
Molecule: ribosomal RNA, 1226 nt
Filed under: metagenome
Description: bacterial LSU rRNA
Rfam family: Bacterial large subunit ribosomal RNA
Source: RNAcentral